GACGAACGCUGGCGGCGUGCUUAACACAUGCAAGUCGAACGGAAAGGCCCUGCUUUUGUGGGGUGCUCGAGUGGCGAACGGGUGAGUAACACGUGAGUAACCUGCCCUUGACUUUGGGAUAACUUCAGGAAACUGGGGCUAAUACCGGAUAGGAGCUCCUGCUGCAUGGUGGGGGUUGGAAAGUUUCGGCGGUUGGGGAUGGACUCGCGGCUUAUCAGCUUGUUGGUGGGGUAGUGGCUUACCAAGGCUUUGACGGGUAGCCGGCCUGAGAGGGUGACCGGCCUCAAUGGGACUGAGAUACGGCCCAGACUCCUACGGGAGGCAGCAGUCGGGAAUAUUGCACAAUGGGGGGAAGCCUGAUGCAGCAACGCCGCGUGCGGGAUGACGGGCUUCGGGUUGUAAACCGCUUUCGCCUGUGACGAAGCGUGAGUGACGGUAAUGGGUAAAGAAGCACCGGCUAACUACGUG
This 468-nucleotide ribosomal RNA is filed under the name uncultured bacterium. RNAcentral describes it as "partial 16S ribosomal RNA". It matches the Rfam family "Bacterial small subunit ribosomal RNA", at positions 28 to 507 of the family's 1533-position model. The record is from RNAcentral.